Molecule: transfer RNA, 73 nt
Filed under: Dreissena polymorpha
Lineage: Eukaryota; Metazoa; Mollusca; Bivalvia; Myida; Dreissenidae
Rfam family: tRNA
About the family: Transfer RNA (tRNA) molecules are approximately 80 nucleotides in length.
Source: Rfam by way of RNAcentral
GGGGAAUUAGCUCAAGUGGUAGAGCGCUCGCUUAGCAUGUGAGAGGUAACGUGAUCGAUACCCGUAUUCUCCU